RNAcentral lists this small RNA (31 nucleotides) under Arabidopsis thaliana (thale cress). RNAcentral describes it as "ATSL226730". Lineage: Eukaryota; Viridiplantae; Streptophyta; Magnoliopsida; Brassicales; Brassicaceae. The record is from RNAcentral.
AUUUUUUUCUUCUUCUUCUUCCUUUUUCCUU